Molecule: long non-coding RNA, 198 nt
Filed under: Oryctolagus cuniculus (rabbit)
Lineage: Eukaryota; Metazoa; Chordata; Mammalia; Lagomorpha; Leporidae
Description: lncRNA (ENSOCUG00000036657.1)
Source: RNAcentral
GUGAACUUGAAGAUGUGCAAGAUUUCACAAGUUCAAAUGCUAGGAAUAAGGCAAUACCAAAUGCUCAGUAGUAGACUUUAAUAUCAUUGAUACCCUGGAAGAAUGUAAGUAAAACACCUGUUUUUAUGUUUAUUACAUUUUCAUGAAUUGACUUGGAGUUUCAUUUUACCAUGAAAUCAUUAAUUGCUCAAUAUUUUG